GCAGCAGCCGCGGUAAGACGGAGGGUGCUAGCGUUGUUCGGAAUCACUGGGCGUAAAGGGCGCGUAGGCGGCCUGUUAAGUCGGAUGUGAAAGCCCGGGGCUCAACCCCGGAACUGCAUCCGAGACUGGCAGGCUUGAGACCGGGAGAGGAGGGUGGAAUAUCCAGUGUAGAGGUGAAAUUCGUAGAUAUUGGAUGGAACACCGGUGGCGAAAGCGGCUCUCUGGCCCGGAUCUGACGCUGAGGCGCGAAAGCGUGGGGAGCAAACAGGAUUAGAUACCCCGGUAGUCCCUGUCUCUUAUAA
This 302-nucleotide ribosomal RNA is filed under the name uncultured bacterium. RNAcentral's name for it is "partial 16S ribosomal RNA". It matches the Rfam family "Bacterial small subunit ribosomal RNA", at positions 508 to 809 of the family's 1533-position model. The record is from RNAcentral.